RNAcentral lists this non-coding RNA (29 nucleotides) under Rattus norvegicus (Norway rat). Lineage: Eukaryota; Metazoa; Chordata; Mammalia; Rodentia; Muridae. The record is from RNAcentral.
UCUUCCAGUUUUCCUUUGAGAACGUGUCU